GGGCAUGUAGCUCAGUGGUAGAGCGCUCGCUUUGCAUGUCAUGUCUGCGAGAGGUCUAGGGUUCGAUCCCCUACCUGUCCA
Polyplosphaeria fusca is the source of this 81-nucleotide non-coding RNA. The record is from the annotation of a GenBank genome assembly. Lineage: Eukaryota; Fungi; Ascomycota; Dothideomycetes; Pleosporales; Tetraplosphaeriaceae.